Molecule: ribosomal RNA, 253 nt
Filed under: bacterium
Lineage: Bacteria
Also listed under: 1 other name
Description: partial 16S ribosomal RNA
Rfam family: Bacterial small subunit ribosomal RNA
Source: RNAcentral
UACAGAGGGUGCAAGCGUUAAUCGGAGUUACUGGGCGUAAAGCGCGCGUAGGUGGUUUAUUAAGUUUCGUGUGAAAGCCUCGGGCUCAACCUGGGAACUGCAAGGAAUACUGAUAAGCUAGAGUAUGGUAGAGGUCAGUGGAAUUUCCGGUGUAGCGGUGAAAUGCGUAGAUAUCGGAAGGAACACCAGUGGCGAAGGCGACUGACUGGGCCAAUACUGACACUGAGGCGCGAAAGCGUGGGUAGCGAACAGG